CAUUCUGACCAUAAAAACACUAA
This 23-nucleotide small nuclear RNA is filed under the name Arabidopsis thaliana (thale cress). RNAcentral describes it as "snRNA_04820". The record is from RNAcentral. Lineage: Eukaryota; Viridiplantae; Streptophyta; Magnoliopsida; Brassicales; Brassicaceae.